This 225-nucleotide ribosomal RNA is filed under the name uncultured bacterium. RNAcentral's name for it is "partial 16S ribosomal RNA". It matches the Rfam family "Bacterial small subunit ribosomal RNA", at positions 109 to 334 of the family's 1533-position model. The record is from RNAcentral.
AGUAACGCGUGGAUAACCUGCCUCACACUGGGGGAUAACAGUUAGAAAUGACUGCUAAUACCGCAUAAGCGCACAGUACCGCAUGGUACAGUGUGAAAAACUCCGGUGGUGUGAGAUGGAUCCGCGUCUGAUUAGCCAGUUGGCGGGGUAACGGCCCACCAAAGCGACGAUCAGUAGCCGACCUGAGAGGGUGACCAGCCACAUUGGGACUGAGACACGGCCCAA